Long non-coding RNA from Episyrphus balteatus (marmalade hoverfly), 887 nucleotides. RefSeq lists it as uncharacterized. NCBI's taxonomy places the organism in Eukaryota, Metazoa, Arthropoda, Insecta, Diptera, Syrphidae. The record is from RefSeq and is a predicted model, not a curated record. The transcript is spliced from 3 exons.
GGUAUCCUUAAAAAAUACCUGCACAAAAUACUUAUUUUUAUCGUUUAUUAUUUCUUUUUUCCUUCAAAACAAAAAAAAAUCUUCCCCCCACUGGCUCAUUAAAACUAUAUAGAUUUCUUUGUCUUUCUUAAGUGGUUAUAUUUUAAUUAAAAACACGGGAUGAGCAACGCCAACGUCGCACUCGUCGCGUCGCAAAACAAAGCGCAUACAAAUUUCAUUAAUUCACAUAAAACUCUUCAGUGAACAAUUUUUGUUCUGCCUCGACUCGGCUGGAAAAUGGUGGCACUAAUACACAAGGCUUUUGAAAUGAGUCAGGAGGACGGAAGAAUACGAGAAUAGUUUAGAAACACACAAACGUUCCAGCCUUAAGAGACUGGAUACACGGGAAAGUGUGCUGUGUGCACUAAAUGGUUUUGUUUGUUUUUGGACAUCCUAUAUUUUCUGUGAAAUUUUCCUUAUAAUUUGAGUAAACAAUAGCUUGAUUGGAAGAAAAUAAGAUAAGAGCAAAGGAAUUUAAUUGAAAGAACUUGAGGUCCAAAAAAAAAAGGUGAACAGUGAAUGCUAAAAGAUUUUAAUAAUAGAGAUUCGAAAAGAAAGACAAAUUUUGAAUAAAUUAUUUUCUCAAUAUAACGAUGUUGAAAGUGAUAGAAAUAUUAAAUUUAGGUGUUAAAUUUUCAGAAUAUAAAACUAGGUGCAUUUGUAUACUCCCAAAAAUUAUAAGGUUGGAAAUAAAUUUAAAAAAAAGUAUUCUCAAAGUUCAAGUCUUUAACUUAAUUCUUAUAUGUGACCCCAAGCAGCUAAUAUGGGAUUUUGCUCCUCGAACUAACACUAAGUUUUAAGUUGCACGCAAACUUUUUGUUCCAAAAUUUUGAAAGUUGGCAUAGUUA